GUGAUUGUUGUUUGGAAUGGCGAAACCAGAAUCAUUAUUAGUGUUAUUCAGCUCGCCAAAGUGCAGGAUUCUCGCGCUAUUAGCAUUACAAUUACAAUGGACAGUGUGCAUGUUUGGAUUAAGAUCUGGAUCACUUCUCCUGCUUGAAAACUAUAGGAGGUUGGUUCGAGCAUCAAUACAUGCCCUUUGAUCCCGCUGCUGCCCCUGGGUCAGCGAGUGGCAAGCUUGAGCACGCGGCGUCUGGUCGGCUCUAGGGACCUGUAGCCACAGAGUUUGCUGAAGUCCCGCCCAACAGAUGCUCGCGGCCCAGCAUUCCCGCCGCGAACUUCCUGUUGAUCAGCCGUCCUUCCUAAGUUUUUUUUUGCAACUGGACCGUGCAUCAUUAUGUUUGUUCUCAACCCAGUUAGCCUAUUCAUGUGAUGAUCUCCAAGCCCAUAUCAGCAUGACACCAAAGGUUCAGUUUUAUACAACUUCAGAGUUGUGGCCAUUUUGCUGUGAGCUGUAGCACUUGAGCAUUGGUUCUAAGAAGUAUUUGUGCAGUAAUACGAUAUUGAUUGUA
Lolium perenne is the source of this 559-nucleotide long non-coding RNA. RefSeq lists it as uncharacterized. Lineage: Eukaryota; Viridiplantae; Streptophyta; Magnoliopsida; Poales; Poaceae. The record is from RefSeq and is a predicted model, not a curated record.